AGUUCGAUUUCCUGGCUCAGAUUGAACGCUGGCGGGAUGCUUUACACAUGCAAGUCGAACGGCAGCACGGACUUCGGUCUGGUGGCGAGUGGCGAACGGGUGAGUAAUGUAUCGGAACGUGCCUAGUGGGGAUAACUACGCGAAAGCGUAGCUAAUACCGCAUACGCCCUUCGGGGGAAAGCGGGGGACCUUCGCCUCGCACUAUUAGAGCGGCCGAUAUCGGAUUAGCUAGUUGGUGGGGUAACGGCUCACCAAGGCGACGAUCCGUAGCUGGUUUGAGGACGACCAGCCACACUGGACUGAGACACGGCCCAGACUCCUACGGGAGGCAGCAGGGAAUUUUGGACAAUGGGGGAAACCCUGAUCCAGCCAUCCGUGUGCGAUGAAGGCCUUCGGGUUGUAAAGCACUUUUGGCAGGAAAGAAACGGCACGGGAUAAUACCCCGUGCAACUGGACGGUACCUGGUGAAUAAGCACCAUAACUACGUGCCAGCAGCCGCGGUAAUACGUAGGUGGGGUGCAAGCGUUAAUCGGAAUUACUGGGCGUAAAGCGUGCGCAGGCGGUUCGGAAAGAAAGAUGUGAAAUCCCAGAGCUUUGGAACUGCAUUUUUAACUACCGAGCUAGAGGUGGUCAGAGGAGGUGGAAAUUCCGUGUAGCAGUGAAAUGCGUAGAUAUGCGGAGGAACACCGAUGGCGAAGGCAGCCUGGGAUAACACUGACGCUCAUGCACACGAAAGCGUGGGGAGCAAACAGGAUUAGAUACCCUGGUAGUCCACGCCCUAAACGAUGUCAACUAGCUGUUGGGGCCUUCUGGCCUUUGGCGCAGCUAACGCGUGAAGUUGACCGCCUGGGGAGUACGGUCGCAAGAUUAAAAACUCAAAGGAAUUGACGGGGACCCGCACAAGCGGUGGAUGAUGUGGAUUAAUUCGAUGCAACGCGAAAAACCUUACCUACCUUGAUACGUUCAACCUGAAGAGAUUUGGGAGUGCUCGCAAGAGAACCGGAACACAGGUACAGCGGCUGUCGUCAAAGCUCGUGUCGUGAGAUGCUGGGCUUAAGUCCUACAACGAGCGCAACCCUUGUCAUUAGUUGCUACGAAAGGGCACUCUAACAGACUGCCGGUGACAAACCGGAGGAAGGUGGGGAUGACGUCAAGUCCUCAUGGCCCUUAUGGGUAGGGGCCUUCACACGUCAUACAAUGUGUCGGGACAGAGGGUCGCCAACCCGCGAGGGGGAGCCAAUCCCGCAGAAACCGGAUCGUAGUCCGGAUCGUAGUUCGGUGAACUUUGAUCAGUGAAGUCGGAAUUUGCUAGUAAUCGUGGAUCAGCAUGUCGCGGGUGAAGAUGUUCCGGGUCUUGUACACACUCGCCCGUCACACCAUGGGAGUGGGGCUUACCGAGAAGUAGUUAGCUCAACCGUAAGGAGGCGAUUACCACGGUAGGAUUCAUGACUGGGGUGAAGUCGUAACAAGGUAA
This 1474-nucleotide ribosomal RNA is filed under the name uncultured Bordetella sp. Its description in RNAcentral is "partial 16S-23S ribosomal RNA intergenic spacer". It matches the Rfam family "Bacterial small subunit ribosomal RNA". The record is from RNAcentral. Lineage: Bacteria; Pseudomonadati; Pseudomonadota; Betaproteobacteria; Burkholderiales; Alcaligenaceae.